Molecule: ribosomal RNA, 595 nt
Filed under: Pichia fermentans
Lineage: Eukaryota; Fungi; Ascomycota; Pichiomycetes; Pichiales; Pichiaceae
Description: eukaryotic LSU rRNA
Rfam family: Eukaryotic large subunit ribosomal RNA
Source: RNAcentral
GCAUAUCAAUAAGCGGAGGAAAAGAAACCAACAGGGAUUGCCCCAGUAGCGGCGAGUGAAGCGGCAAAAGCUCAGAUUUGGAAUCGCUUCGGCGAGUUGUGAAUUGCAGGUUGGCGCCUCUGCGGCGGCGGCGGUCCAAGUCCCUUGGAACAGGGCGCCAUUGAGGGUGAGAGCCCCGUGGGACCGUUUGCCUACGCUCUGAGGCCCUUCUGACGAGUCGAGUUGUUUGGGAAUGCAGCUCUAAGCGGGUGGUAAAUUCCAUCUAAGGCUAAAUACUGGCGAGAGACCGAUAGCGAACAAGUACUGUGAAGGAAAGAUGAAAAGCACUUUGAAAAGAGAGUGAAACAGCACGUGAAAUUGUUGAAAGGGAAGGGUAUUGCGCCCGACAUGGAGCGUGCGCACCGCUGCCCCUCGUGGGCGGCGCUCUGGGCGUGCUCUGGGCCAGCAUCGGUUUUUGCCGCGGGAGAAGGGCGGCGGGCAUGUAGCUCUUCGGAGUGUUAUAGCCUGCCGCCGGCGCCGCGAGCGGGGACCGAGGACUGCGACUUUUGUCUCGGAUGCUGGCACAACGGCGCAACACCGCCCGUCUUGAAACACG